CGGGCCGAUGGUAAUGCCUCAGUAGCGGCGAGUGAAGCGGCAAGAGCUCAGAUUUGAAAUCGUGCUUUGCGGCACGAGUUGUAGAUUGCAGGUUGGAGUCUGUGUGGAAGGCGGUGUCCAAGUCCCUUGGAACAGGGCGCCCAGGAGGGUGAGAGCCCCGUGGGAUGCCGGCGGAAGCAGUGAGGCCCUUCUGACGAGUCGAGUUGUUUGGGAAU
RNAcentral lists this ribosomal RNA (215 nucleotides) under Pichia kudriavzevii. RNAcentral's name for it is "partial 26S ribosomal RNA". It matches the Rfam family "Eukaryotic large subunit ribosomal RNA", at positions 56 to 281 of the family's 3401-position model. The record is from RNAcentral. Lineage: Eukaryota; Fungi; Ascomycota; Pichiomycetes; Pichiales; Pichiaceae.